This 343-nucleotide ribosomal RNA is filed under the name Escherichia coli. RNAcentral's name for it is "partial 23S ribosomal RNA". It matches the Rfam family "Bacterial large subunit ribosomal RNA", at positions 1 to 371 of the family's 2925-position model. Lineage: Bacteria; Pseudomonadati; Pseudomonadota; Gammaproteobacteria; Enterobacterales; Enterobacteriaceae. The record is from RNAcentral.
GGGUUGUGAGGUUAAGCGACUAAGCGUACACGGUGGAUGCCCUGGCAGUCAGAGGCGAUGAAGGACGUGCUAAUCUGCGAUAAGCGUCGGUAAGGUGAUAUGAACCGUUAUAACCGGCGAUUUCCGAAUGGGGAAACCCAGUGUGAUUUGUCACACUAUCAUUAACUGAAUCCAUAGGUUAAUGAGGCGAACCGGGGGAACUGAAACAUCUAAGUACCCCGAGGAAAAGAAAUCAACCGAGAUUCCCCCAGUAGCGGCGAGCGAACGGGGAGCAGCCCAGAGCCUGAAUCAGUGUGUGUGUUAGUGGAAGCGUCUGGAAAGGCGCGCGAUACAGGGUGACAGC